CGUGGGUAACCUGCCCAAGAGACUGGGAUAACACCUGGAAACAGAUGCUAAUACCGGAUAACAACACUAGACGCAUGUCUAGAGUUUAAAGGAUGGUUCUGCUAUCACUCUUGGAUGGACCUGCGGUGCAUAGCUAGUUGGUAAGGUAACGGCUUACCAAGGCAAUGAUGCAUAGCCGAGUUGAGAGACUGAUCGGCCACAUUGGGACUGAGACACGGCCCAAACUCCUACGGGAGGCAGCAG
This 243-nucleotide ribosomal RNA is filed under the name uncultured bacterium. RNAcentral describes it as "partial 16S ribosomal RNA". It matches the Rfam family "Bacterial small subunit ribosomal RNA", at positions 116 to 354 of the family's 1533-position model. The record is from RNAcentral.